Molecule: long non-coding RNA, 2696 nt
Organism: Cyprinus carpio (common carp)
Lineage: Eukaryota; Metazoa; Chordata; Actinopteri; Cypriniformes; Cyprinidae
Source: Ensembl
AUACAAAUUUGCGUUAAAAAGCUGUUCAUCACUGUGCUUGUGAGAAAAAGAUGGAUCCGUCUGCCAGUAUGCACAUGUCCGCUGUUCCCCAGAACAGUGAUAUCGUCCACGUCUCUGUCGGGAACCCCAUUAUAACCAUGUAUCAGCCACAACCGCAACCUCCAAACAUCGCACAGAUCAUCACACAGCACGUGGUACCUCAAGAAGUCUCCUGUCACGCUGUACCGCACACCAUCCCAUCGCACGUCCAGAUGCCAACUCACAUCCAGACUCAGUCACACAUCCAGCCCGCUCCACAUCUGCAGACUCCACUGCAAGGCCACGUGGAGGCACAGGCUCAUAUUCAGACCCAAGACCACUUAUCAACACAAGGUCCAUCAGAAGGCCAGAGUGCCGCGCCAUCUCAAGAUGGUGCAGUGAACUCACUGCAGGUCCCUUUUGCAGAGGUAGCCUCCCUCCUGGAUCCUAACAUGAAGAGCUCAAAGGCCCGCAAGUAUCAGAUCCAUUACGAAGAGGUGAAGAGGAGAUUAGAGCCGCCUGAGAAGAUGUCUCUCCGAUCUCUGGCUGCCUAUACAAGAGUGAGUCGAGGUCCUGCUAGUAAGAAAACACUCUUGGAGUCCCUAAAUGUCUUUGGACUGUCACCAAGCACCAAUACAGCAGUAUCCAGUUCCUUUUCUAAACUAACUGAAGGUGACACAGCUGCCCUUUGCAAAGACAUGAAGGAUUUUGCACUGCAAUAUGUUGAUUAUGAGAAUAUGGCGAAACAGUUGCUACCUGAAACGAACCAAGUACAGCACUGGUCAAAAAUCAUUGAAACAAGGAACUAUCUAGAGGAGAUGCGGAAGACUUUUAAUGAUCCAGUGAAUACACGUUUGUUCUCCAAUGUUACACAUGGUCUUGGUAACGGCAUGAUGGACGUGGCUCUCGAUAUCAUAGAUACCGUCAUCGACCGACAAAUCCGAAUCCUCUCAGGAAACACUGACCCCAAACCCGAACCUCCGGUGAGAAGGAUAAGGAAACGCAACCGCAAGCCCAAAGCUGCCACGGAAGAUGGAAAACCUAAAGAAAAGGGCAAAAGGGGACAGAAGAAAGGAAAACAGAUGCGGCUGGAUUCUGUUGUUCCUGAAGUUCAGCAGUCCACAGAGAUGGAGAGCAGUGUGUUAACACUAGUCUCUGUAGGAUACGAAACUAUUUCCAGUGGACUUAACGCCACCAAUGCAGGUCUCGUGUAACAUCACGUGCCUGAAAGGUGCUGAGAGACACUGAAUUCAGAGUGCAAAAAGUUUUUCAUAGAAAACUUUAGUUUUAUAAACAUUAGACUUCUCCUUCUCUCUGAAUAUAUUUUGGGGGUUUUUCUCACAAACUGGUUGAUCAAGAAAAUAAUGUGGGUCUGAGAAGCUGUUUUGAUUUAUACUUUACCAAUCAUGUGUCGCUCUCAAUCUCUUGUUUUGUCAUUUGUGGUAAAGAACAAAUGUACACAGACAGCGUAUGCUAUUAAAGUAGCAGGCAAGCAUUUUUUUUUUCAAGCACUAUGUUGUAUUCUCAUGAAAUUAAUCACAAUAUCAGUUUCUCUUAGUCUCAUUUUAGAAUUUUAUCUCUGAAGUGUUAUUUGUUUCUGUUUUACUUAAUCCUACAAACCCCUAGCAAUUUAGUUUGAGUAAGAACAUACCUUCUCUUAAUUUUUCAGACUAUUUAUUUACUUUUUCUGUUUGUGUCUGAUAUGUAGUGUAUGUGAAUGACUGUAGCCUGUACUCUGUAAGUUUUACAGAUUGCUCAUCAUAUGCUUGUAUUAAAAGCAUUACCUUUUUACAAAGCAGUUUGUAUAUUUAUUACUUUUUUAUUGCUUGCAGAGCGUGAAAGCAUCCACUCUAAUGUAAGAUUAAAAUUUAUUAAAUGGAUUUAUUGCAAUUGCUAUUGCACAUAUUUAGGGUUAGGGAUUUAAACAAACCCUUAACCCUAAGUGUUAACGUUUUACGAGUGUUAAAAUUUAAAAAACAUUAUUUGUGCAAUGAGCCAGAGAUAUCUGAAAUGGUGGGUUUUUGUGAAGCAUCUUGCAAUUUUUCUUAAACAACAAAAUAUGGCAGGAGGGACACAAUCCAGAACAUCAUAGAGAUAUUUUUUAUAUGAUCCAGUAAGUAACAUGUAACAAUACGUUUACAACCAUUCCGAACAGCUUUGCAGCCACAUAGCAUCAUACUAGCAUUGUGGUGGCAACAGUAUUUCAGAACAUGUAAAACUGUUUAAUUUAAUAACAUGUAGUUACUGUAGUAAUUUGUCUGUUUUAUAAGUGCCCUAAGAAGUCAAUAAUGGCUAAUUGGUUUGUUUUCAAUUAUGUUCACUUCAACUACUUUGUAAUCUUUUGUAUUUUCACAAAAGAUUUCCCCACAAAGCCACUUUUCUGAAGCCCUCGCGAAAAAGCAGAGAAAAUCCUCACCAUGUAGUCAGAUUUGUAACUGAGCCAGUGAUAUUGUUUGUCUGUUUGUUGUUCCUCUCUCUCUUCUGCCCUCUUGGAGAUAUUUGAUGUGGGCUUUCUGCAGUUCACAGUGUUUCCUACAGGUGUCCUGUCCACUGUGAGGCUUUCAUCAGAUUGAGGAUUUGGAGUGCAUUAGUGAAGGUCUGAAUCAGAGCAGGCGGUGGAGAGACAGGGAUUGAGAGGAAGAAAAUAAAUGUGAUGAGUGUGGGAGGGAGGAGUCGCA